GUGCCAGCCGCCGCGGUAAUACGUAGGGGGCUAGCGUUAUCCGGAAUUACUGGGCGUAAAGGGUGCGUAGGCGGUCUUUCAAGCCAGAAGUGAAAGGCUACGGCUCAACCGUAGUAAGCUUUUGGAACUGUAGGACUUGAGUGCAGGAGAGGAGAGUGGAAUUCCUAGUGUAGCGGUGAAAUGCGUAGAUAUUAGGAGGAACACCAGUAGCGAAGGCGGCUCUCUGGACUGUAACUGACGCUGAGGCACGAAAGCGUGGGGAGCGAACAGGAUUAGAUACCCCUGUAGUCC
Molecule: ribosomal RNA, 291 nt
Filed under: uncultured bacterium
Lineage: Bacteria
Description: partial 16S ribosomal RNA
Rfam family: Bacterial small subunit ribosomal RNA
Source: RNAcentral